Molecule: long non-coding RNA, 2677 nt
Filed under: Gallus gallus (chicken)
Lineage: Eukaryota; Metazoa; Chordata; Aves; Galliformes; Phasianidae
Description: lncRNA (ENSGALG00010029870.1)
Source: RNAcentral
CUCUGCAAGCUGCCUUUGUGGGUGGGUUGAGCUCCGCACUGAUCUCAGUGUUGUGCAGCACCCCAAGACCUUUGUGACUUGUUGCUGCUCCAAUGCAGAGGUCGUUGUGACUUUGCUAGUAGCACGCCUAGGGGAGUUGUGCAGAAAGCAGAUGGAUUUUGUGGGUGUCUUUCGCUGAGUGUUGGCCUCCAGGAACAUUUACCAAAAAGAGCAUUCCCAUGAUACACCAUCAUCUUCUCCAGAACAAACACAAAGGAGAUGUGUCCAUGUCACAGUGUGACCUUCCCCCCGCACACCCCAGUGCUUGACUGUGCAGGGAGCAGAGCUGGCUGGGUGUGCUUGCCUGGCUCCUGCCUGAGAAUGUUUCCAUGUCUGGAUGUGGUGGUUCCUAAUCGUGUGGCUUUUAAAUUGUCCAUUCCAUCCACUCCCUGUGCAAUUACUCAGGUGGAUGCUUCCUCCCAUUGAGAUGCAUGUGCAAGACUCCUGACUUGACGUUCAUGCCAGGACAUUCAUUGCAAUUACCCUUGAUUUGAGAGCAGCCUCUAAAGGAAAUAAAAAUGACAGCUUUGGAGCAAUCCUGUUGUGCAGCAUGAUGGCUCUUGGCAGCAGGAGACCUAAUCACCCUCCUGAAGGCUGCUAUUCCAACGCGGGAUCUGAACAGACAAGUCUUCAAGGAACGGAAUCUGUAACAGCAUUAAAAGGCUAGGGAAUUGAAUCCCAGAGCCUCAGAGGGGCAAUUUCAAGUCCUCAGCCAACUGAAGUUGAACUGUACACCUAUGGCAAGCUAAUUCCCAGCCCCGAGCUUUACCUCAUCGUAGGUCACAGAAACGACAACUUCAGAAUACCUGGAGUGAUGAUGGAGUGAUGAUGUGACCUUUUGCACUGUGGGGGAGGCAUUCCGUGCUCCGAUGGCUGUGGGCUCCUGUUAGCUCCAAUCUCCCCCAUCAUCACCGAAGACCAUUUCUGUUGGCAGAGAAGAAAGGGAAGAAGCCCUGCCUGCUGCCUUCUCCUGAGCACACUGCCCGAGAGCCAACAGCCUGGACCACAGGAGGCUUCCAGAUGCUGGCAGAGAAGCAGGAAUCAUUACAACGGAGCAGAGCCCCACACAAAGGAGCUCCUGACACCCGCCGGCAGGCGAUGAAUUAGUGCAGCACAGCUGGAGCUGCUUGAGGGCUGCAGAUGCAAAUCCCAGAGCUGUUCCUGCAUGUACCGGAGACAGUGCGGCCAGUCUGGGGGUUCCCAUAUAUAAGAUAUGUCGAGGUGCUAGAGCGAAGCUGAGAAAAAAUGUAUCUUUGAAGAGGCAAAGUGGACAUGUCAUUGAUGUCUAUGGUUAUUAAGAGGGGGAUGUGCAGAAGGGAGAACCAGACUGUCCUUGGAGAUGCACGGCGACAGGACGAGAGGCAACAAGCACAAAUGGCAGCAUGGAAAUUCUCAAUAGAGAGUGAAAAAUGCCCACCAUGAGAAUGUUCAAAUGGCAGACUGGGAGCCCAGAAAGGCUGUGAGACUCCAGUGUAUGAGAUGCUCAAAACUCAGCCGGACAUAGCAGCCUGGUAAGAUGGGCCUGCAUGGACUGGAAGCCAUGCUUUUAAUUGCAGCUGGUGUGACCUCUGUGUGACACUGGGGUGACAUUAUCCAAGCCUCUUAAGCAGAAGCCCGGUCCCAUCCCAGUUAAAUCUGCCAGCAUACAGCCAAUUGCCCAGAAGGCAACUGCAUUGCCCGUGGAUGCAGUGAUAUGAUCAAGUUCACCCAAAGUCUGUGUCAGAGAAAGGAGCUGAGCCCAGGGCUCAUGCAGCAGGGACCAACCAUCACAGCAUGGGGCCUGGAUGCACUUCAUGGAAAAGGAUAUAGUGGUUGAAAAAGGGCCCAGUGUAAAUCCUGCCCUGCCUCUGCCAGUGCUGAGAUCAGCAGGUUUUAAGUCUAAUUCCAGCAGAAGAUUUCUGCCUGUGCCAGAUGUGGUUUUCAGAUGCUGCACUGUGGCUUUGCUGCAUUCCUGGCCAACUGCAGCCAAGCAGACCCCUGGAGCCUUGCCAGAGAGGGAGAAGGUAAGCAAGAUCCCAAGGUGCCCCUCUCAACUGGAUGAUGCAUUUCAGCUUUGCUUCCAAGCCUUCCAGAAGGCACCAGCCCCUCUGCCCAGGUAUUAUUCUUGGGCGCUCUCAAAAUAGCUGCCUUUGCCUGGGAAUCAGAGAGGAGAGCUCAGUGAGUCCCCCUGAAUCUCCAGCUGCAGUAAUAUGUUGUUAUGAACCUCUACCAGAGCACUCGUAGUGCAGCUAGAGAGUCUGUCUGACAUUGCCUCCAGUGACCUUUUCGCUAUAGUCCAAGUGCCGUGGAGCUGGUGUUUCAAGAGGAAUUCAAAUGGAAUUUACUCAGGCAGAAAGGAUUGGCCUGGGGAUAGCCCUUCUACAGCUUCUGGUUCUCCUUGUCAUUCUCAUGGAAAUUGCAAUUCUUUAUGCAUGGUGCUUCUUCCUGCACCGCAGCAAAUGCGUCCCUUCAAGCAGCAGGCUGCUAACAGAGGGGCUCCAAAAUGAAGGCAUAACCCAUUACAAGGUCACAACGUGGCCAUGAGCCCUGACACCAAAACUGGCUGGUGGACAUCAGGCACCCGCCUCGAGUUCCAGGAUGCAGCUUGUUUACGUGGGAUGCGAGCAGCAGGGAUUUGUGUAAGCUUCGGGGCAUGGGG